Molecule: ribosomal RNA, 274 nt
Filed under: uncultured bacterium
Lineage: Bacteria
Description: partial 16S ribosomal RNA
Rfam family: Bacterial small subunit ribosomal RNA
Source: RNAcentral
ACACGUAGGUGGCGAGCGUUACUCGGAAUCACUGGGCAUAAAGCGCGCGCAGGCGGCCAUGUAAGUCGGAUGUGAAAUCCCACGGCUCAACCGUGGAACUGCGUUCGAUACUGCGUGGCUGGAGGCUGGUAGGGGAGAGUGGAAUUCCACAUGUAGCGGUGAAAUGCGUAGAUAUGUGGAGGAACAUCAGUGGCGAAGGCGACUUUCUGGAUCAAUACUGACGCUGAGGUGCGAAAGCGUGGGGAGCAAACAGGAUUAGAAACCCCAGUAGUCC